AUGGUACUCCCUCCAUCCCAAAAUUAUUGUCUUAGAUUUCUCUAAAUACAGAUGUAUCAAGUCACGUUUUAGUAUUAGAUACAUCUGCAUCUAAUCUAAUCUAAGACGAGAAUUUUGGGACGGAGGGAGUAUCUC
Triticum aestivum (bread wheat) is the source of this 135-nucleotide non-coding RNA. The record is from Rfam. NCBI's taxonomy places the organism in Eukaryota, Viridiplantae, Streptophyta, Magnoliopsida, Poales, Poaceae.